Long non-coding RNA from Nematostella vectensis (starlet sea anemone), 1151 nucleotides. RefSeq lists it as uncharacterized. NCBI's taxonomy places the organism in Eukaryota, Metazoa, Cnidaria, Anthozoa, Actiniaria, Edwardsiidae. The record is from RefSeq and is a predicted model, not a curated record. The transcript has 5 exons.
UUUUGGAAGGAUUUCUCGAGGUUUUCAUCCUAUAAUCGCAAAUGUUAAAAGCGUUGUUCUGAUAUACUGUACAACUCGAAAUGAUAAAAUUCAUACCCCUGCGACCAUGUAAUAUCCUCUAAUGCUUCUAUCCAACAGAAAAAAAAAACAGUUAUACAGGAACUUUUCACACUGUCAACUCCAUCAAGAAAACAGGAAAAUGGAGAUCGAAGGUAAAUCUAUCAAAGUACAGCAAAGUGCUUAUCCCAGGGCAAUUCGACGCUACAAAUCACUGGCAAUUAUGUGUCGUUGACCUUGAUGAAGGCACGAUUGCUUUGGUGGACCCUAUGUCUUUGGAAACUGACAUGGACAGUGUCGUUUUUAAUGAGAUGAGAGAAGAGAGAAGGAUAUAAAGGCAAAGUGGAGUGGCGACAAAAAUGGAUUAAUCAUCCACUACAGACCAGCAGACAGAUUGUGUCAGCUGUGGGGUUUUCAUCUUAAAGGUUUAUAUUCAAUUUCUUUUGUUUUCCUGUAGCUAUUCGAAAGCAAAUACGAUGGAUUCUCCUUAUAUAUAAGAUCAUGUAGUAAAUAUUCAUUUAAUUUUAACAGAUAGCUGAAUGCCUAGCAUGGGACAUGGCUCUCUCUUUUACCAAAGAUGACGUAGAUGAGUACCGUUACAUUAUAGCGGGAAGACUGAUAACAGAAAAAUGGUGAAAAUGUCAAUCCAAAGCGAAGACGAAGUUCUUCUGGGAAAGUGUGACUGGAGGAGUAAAACACUAAUAUCCCACUUUCUUCGACUCGAGUUUACCAACUGAAGUUUGGAAUUUGUUAGAAUAGGUAGACAGGUUAAUUAGGAGCCCUGUAACAAGUAACAAGAAAUGGUUUUGAACAAGGUUUAUUUCCCCGGGGAGCGUCUUCAGGGUAAAAUAGAAAUAGAUAGGGAUGCUCGUCUGGAAAUUCGAAAAAUUCCCUGAAAAAAUACCCGCACACUACUCUAUACCUAUAGAAUACCCUAUAAAAUACUCCAGAAGCAAAAAUGAUCCCUAAAAAUGCAUUUUUUGUAUCCCAUUUCAUAACUAAGAAUGAAUGACAAAUUGUCAAAGUAUUUUGUUUAGAAAUCGAAAGUUUUGCAGUAACAGAUGGCAAACUUGAAAAGUAAAAGUCUUCUAGCU